This 329-nucleotide long non-coding RNA is filed under the name Helianthus annuus (common sunflower). Its description in RNAcentral is "sRNA HanXRQr2_Chr16g0734481". The record is from RNAcentral. Lineage: Eukaryota; Viridiplantae; Streptophyta; Magnoliopsida; Asterales; Asteraceae.
UGGCAAACCUGUAGGUGCUGGAUGGAAGUGUUCAAGGGUGCAAUCUGUAACUUGUUCGCUCCUUGUGUUCUAGGGUUUGCGGAUCUGACUGUUGUGGAUCUAGAUCGUCUUGAUCUUGGAAUUUGAAGGACCUUAGGUACUAUGGAGCUUGCACGGGAGGCGCUGUCGUUGUGGGCACGGAUCGUGAAUGUUUCGUUAAACACUUUAUGACAUUUCAUACUGUACUUAUGUUGGGUUUUAUUUAUACGCUUCCACUAAACAGUGAUGACACACUUAUAUUUUGAACACCUUUCAUAUUGGUGGUUGAAUGACAUUACUUUUACUUAUUA